RNAcentral lists this transfer RNA (77 nucleotides) under Ruminococcus sp. RNAcentral describes it as "tRNA-Met". It matches the Rfam family "tRNA". From Rfam's summary of the family: Transfer RNA (tRNA) molecules are approximately 80 nucleotides in length. Their secondary structure includes four short double-helical elements and three loops (D, anti-codon, and T loops). The record is from RNAcentral. Lineage: Bacteria; Bacillati; Bacillota; Clostridia; Eubacteriales; Oscillospiraceae. RNAcentral also lists the same sequence under 11 other names.
CGCGGGAUGGAGCAGCUCGGUAGCUCGUCGGGCUCAUAACCCGAAGGUCGUAGGUUCAAAUCCUGCUCCCGCAACCA